AUUCGAUAUUUCUCUUCCAUGUUUUUCGUUCUUUUUCUUUUUAAGUGGUAGAAGAUAUUCUCUAACUCCAUAAACUUAUGUGUUAGCUUGUUUACACGUUGGUGAUAGUUGAUUGGUCAGUUAGAGAAUAGAUCUGGAUCUUGUUCUAAAAAUGUUACAAUCUUUCUAAUAUUUAGAUUUGCAGCUGUUUAUUUUUGGUGUUUUAUUGAGGUUUCAUUCCAAUAGUCGUUACAGUUUUAUUGUAUUUCUUAGUCAAGAUAGGAAGCUUUUUAUAUGAGAUGGUAUAUUCGAUAUGAGAAAUUUACACAGUAGUGUAUACACUUACGUAUGAUGGUGCAAAAAUCUUCCAUCCGCAUGUCAUGUCGUUUUGGUAGGCAGAGCGGCCAUCUUUUGCACAUAUUAAUCUUUGAGUGCCUUUAUCAUGUUUGACCCUUCGGUAUGUAAAAGAUCGCUAUUUCAAUAUCUCUUCAGUAAUAUUGAAAUCGAUUUUUUACCUUGGCAUACAAUUUUGAAUUUUCUACUUAACAAAUUGUUUUGAAUUUUUUUUAAUUGUUUUAGACUUUUAGGCAUGUUUAUUGUUGUACUUUGGUUU
Molecule: small RNA, 592 nt
Filed under: Arabidopsis thaliana (thale cress)
Lineage: Eukaryota; Viridiplantae; Streptophyta; Magnoliopsida; Brassicales; Brassicaceae
Description: putative long intergenic non-coding RNA
Source: RNAcentral